GAUGACCGCUGGCGGCGUGCCUAAUACAUGCAAGUCGAGCGAACAGAUGAGGAGCUUGCUCCUCUGACGUUAGCGGCGGACGGGUGAGUAACACGUGGAUAACCUACCUAUAAGACUGGGAUAACUUCGGGAAACCGGGGCCAAUACCGGAUAAUAUAUUGAACCGCAUGGUUCAAUAGUGAAAGACGGUUUUGCUGUCACUUAUAGAUGGAUCCGCGCCGCAUUAGCUAGUUGGUAAGGUAACGGCUUACCAAGGCAACGAUGCGUAGCCGACCAAAGAGGCUGACCUGCCUCACUAGACCCGAGACACGGUCGAGAGGCCCACGGGAGCCAGCAGUCGGGAAUCUCCUCCGAUGAGCGAAAGCCUGACGGAGCAACGCCGCGUGGGGGACGAUGGUCUUCGGAUCGUAAAGCUCUGGUAUUAGGGACGAACAAAUGUGUAAGUAACUAUGCACGUCGUGACGGUACCUACUCAGAGAGCCACGGCGAGCCACGUG
Molecule: ribosomal RNA, 497 nt
Filed under: uncultured bacterium
Lineage: Bacteria
Description: partial 16S ribosomal RNA
Rfam family: Bacterial small subunit ribosomal RNA
Source: RNAcentral